GCUGCCUGUCUGCUUGACUCAGGACACACAUACUGAACAGGAGCUCCUGAUUCCCCAAGGAUGGAGAUUCCCAAGCACCAGUUCAUUCAUUAAACCAAGGCGGUCCCCUCAAAUUUAUUGUUGUUCUUUCUGAAUUCCUGAAUUUCUGAACUUGGUGAGCUAGGAGUACUUUGGUACCUUAAAAAUCAUGGCCUUUUUUUUUUUUUUCCUUCUGGUUCCCAGCUGCAUCUUCUUAUCCC
Molecule: long non-coding RNA, 239 nt
Filed under: Bos taurus (domestic cattle)
Lineage: Eukaryota; Metazoa; Chordata; Mammalia; Artiodactyla; Bovidae
Description: long non-coding RNA NONBTAT000551
Source: RNAcentral